RNAcentral lists this long non-coding RNA (2315 nucleotides) under Salmo salar (Atlantic salmon). RNAcentral describes it as "lncRNA (ENSSSAG00000086619.1)". Lineage: Eukaryota; Metazoa; Chordata; Actinopteri; Salmoniformes; Salmonidae. The record is from RNAcentral.
AAACUGUUGUUCGCUUUAUCUACUUCAGAAAGAGGAAGCAGACAAAUAUAGUUGGCACUAGUUGCUAUAAAUACAGUAGUGUUGUUUGGAUUAAAUGUUUUAUAAAGUUAAAUAAAGGUGAAAUAAAAAACUAAACAUGGAUAUGAUUAAUGUAAAUGAAUUAGUUGUCCCACAUCCAACAAAUCUGACGGAAGAUAUUUCAUACAGAAAACAACAUUUAUUCAGACAUGCUUUAUAAAGCUACAUGUUAAACCGUGUCAAAAAUGUCUACGGGCGUAUAAACCUUAUCAGUACAAUUAUUAGUAAGAGCAUUUGUAUAAUGAAAUAUAUUACAUAACAAUAUUACAAACCUCAACAUACAUUUGCAACUCAGCUACAGCUAUAAGCCAGUUUGAGGGGAUAAAUCUAUUGUUUUUCUACAACGACGGACCAACCAACCACAAGGAGUGUGUGACAAGAUCAAUAACUUAAAUAUUAAGUAGUUCGUAAGAAAAUGUGUUAUGUGCAAUUUGAUAUUCAAAAUAACAAUAGAUGAAUUGACAGAGUAUCUACUGUUAGACCUAAUAGUACAACUUUAAACUUUAAAAAUAUAAAACAAAUCAUGUUUACAUAUUUGACUUCCUAAAGUCUUGGACAAGGCAUUAUCAUCCUUGCUGUGCAUUUGUAAAGGACAAAUGUUAGGUAGGAACCACAUUUGAGUUCACAUCAAAAUGGAUCAGAUCCUUCUGUUUCAAUUGGUCAAUACCCAAUACCCUCAAACCUAUGAAGCAGACAAAGGUUAAACCUAAUGCUAAGAUAAAAUAAGAAAAUACUUGACAAAGCAUUAAGAUUUCAUAGCCUUAAAAGCCCCUUUAAAACAAAAUGGAUGCCACUAACUGUCUAAUACCACGGUUCUUCAAUACCACCAAGCUUCUAAGUCUUAGUCUGUUUUAGCACAUAGCAACACCUAGGAGUGCAUUUCAGUGUGAUACAAAUGAUCUGGUCUCUGACUAAAGAGAUAUCUAAAGAAGAGAGGAGAUCAGUCAGGAAGUGGCUAGUUCCUGUGUGCCCUAUUUAUAAGCCAAGUGAACGGGGCUGCUUUCAAGAGCACAGGGUAGAUACAACACAACAUUACUGGGGCUAGGUGAGAGUAGAUACAACACAACAUUACUGGGGCUAGGUGAGAGUAGAUACAACACAACAUUACUGGGGCUAGGUGAGAGUAGAUACAACACAACAUUACUGGGGCUAGGUGAGAGUAGAUACAACACAACAUUACUGGGGCUAGGUGAGAGUAGAUACAACACAACAUUACUGGGGCUAGGUGAGAGUAGAUACAACACAACAUUACUGGGGCUAAGUGAGAGUAGGCAUCAUAGGUUCUGUACUCACUUUUACAGUAGCUCAGUAAUCAUACCGCCUACACUCUUAGAAAAAAGGGUUCCAAAAGGGUUCUUCGGCUGUCCCAUAGGAUAACUCUUUUUUAUUCCAGGUAGAACUCUUUGGGUUCUUCUGGGGAAGGGUUCUACAUGGAACCCAAUAGGGUUCUACCUGGAAUCAAAAGGGUUCUUUCUGGAACCAAAAAGGGUUAUUCAAAGUGUUCUAUUGGGACAGCCGAAGAACCCUUUUACGUUCUAGAUUUUUUUCUAAGAGUGUAGUUCCUGUGUUGCAAUGUGCAGUCUGAAACCUUUUGUGAAAUGUUGUAUAAACCUAGCCUGCAUAGGUAUUUGCCAAAACAGAGUUAAGGUCACAUUUGCUAUGCAUUUGGACCUGGUGAAAAGUUUGCACCUGUUUUUAUUGGAUGAAACACCAAAGCUAAAACAGCAAACUGUCUUCAUUUAUACUUGAUAAAUGAUUCACUUUCAGAACCUUUAUUCUUACCUUUUCAUUUAACCUUUUAUGUCCAAUUCCCUAUGGUAAACUUACUGUGCAAUCUUGAUACCUGAUGCAAAGUGCAAAUGUUGAAUAAAUGGGGUCCUUAGCUGUCAGAAGAAGGGAGGCUUGUAAAAUAGGUCUGGUGUCAAAUUUGAUGUACAUCCUGCCAUUGAGAUUUGGACUGGCAGAGUUUGUCUCAGACAUUUUAUAAAAGCCCUGAAUAUUCUUUUAACACUUGGAAAGUAGUUUUUCAAGACAAAUAACUUCUCGAGAAAAUUAUAUUUUCAUGAACUACAUAAACACAACCCACCUCAUACACGAUUACUUCAACUACAUAAACACAACCCACCUCAUACACGAUUACUUCAACUACAUAAACACAACCCACCUCAUACACGAUUACUUCAACUACAUAAACACAACCCACCUCAUACACGAUUACUUCAACUACAUAAACACAA